RNAcentral lists this ribosomal RNA (497 nucleotides) under uncultured bacterium. RNAcentral's name for it is "partial 16S ribosomal RNA". It matches the Rfam family "Bacterial small subunit ribosomal RNA", at positions 28 to 507 of the family's 1533-position model. The record is from RNAcentral.
GAUGAACGCUGGCGGCGUGCCUAAUACAUGCAAGUCGAGCGAACAGACGAGGAGCUUGCUCCUCUGACGUUAGCGGCGGACGGGUGAGUAACACGUGGAUAACCUACCUAUAAGACUGGGAUAACUUCGGGAAACCGGAGCUAAUACCGGAUAAUAUAUUGAACCGCAUGGUUCAAUAGUGAAAGACGGUUUUGCUGUCACUUAUAGAUGGAUCCGCGCCGCAUUAGCUAGUUGGUAAGGUAACGGCUUACCAAGGCAACGAUGCGUAGCCGACCUGAGAGGGUGAUCAGCCACACUGGAACUGAGACACGGUCCAGACUCCUACGGGAGGCAGCAGUAGGGAAUCUUCCGCAAUGGGCGAAAGCCUGACGGAGCAACGCCGCGUGAGUGAUGAAGGUCUUCGGAUCGUAAAACUCUGUUAUUAGGGAAGAACAAAUGUGUAAGUAACUAUGCACGUCCUGACGGUACCUAAUCAGAAAGCCACGGCUAACUACGUG